AUUGAACGCUGGCGGCAGGCCUAACACAUGCAAGUCGAGCGGGGUUUUUCGGACCUAGCGGCGGACGGGUGAGUAAUGCGUAGGAAGCUACCCGAUAGAGGGGGAUACCAGUUGGAAACGACUGUUAAUACCCGCAUAAUGUCUACGGACCAAAGUGUGGGACCUUCGGGCCACAUGCUAUCGGAUGCGCCUACGUGGGAUUAGCUAGUUGGUGAGGUAAUGGCUCACCAAGGCGACGAUCUCUAGCUGGUUUGAGAGGAUGAUCAGCCACACUGGAACUGAGACACGGUCCAGACUCCUACGGGAGGCAGCAGUGGGGAAUAUUGGACAAUGGGCGCAAGCCUGAUCCAGCCAUGCCGCGUGUGUGAAGAAGGCCUU
RNAcentral lists this ribosomal RNA (378 nucleotides) under uncultured bacterium. Its description in RNAcentral is "bacterial SSU rRNA". It matches the Rfam family "Bacterial small subunit ribosomal RNA", at positions 30 to 418 of the family's 1533-position model. The record is from RNAcentral.